AGCAGCCAUCUUUCAAAAAGCGUUAAAGCUUCAUUGUUUUUAUCAAAAAAUACCAUUAAUUAACUGUAACCCUUCACCUGUACUGAAUGAUCUCAUAAUUGUAUGAGAACCUAUAUGUUAGAACUAGUAACAAGAAGAAGCCCUUCUCCAAAAUGUAAGCAUAAGCCAAAAUGAACCAUUCAUUGGCAUUUAAAGUUAUAAACCCAUUGUAGCAACUUAACAAGAAAAACCUACAACUGCAAACGUCAACCUUACACCAGCACAUUUCUGGAAAGAUAAAAAGAAUAGGAAGGAACUCGGCAAAUAACUAACCCCGCCUGUUUACCAAAAACAUCGCCUCCUGAUCACCCAUAGGAGGUCCAGCCUGCCCAGUGACUAAGUUAAACGGCCGCGGUACCCUAACCGUGCAAAGGUAGCGCAAUCACUUGUUCUUUAAAUGAGGACUAGUAUGAACGGCAUCACGAGGGUUAUGCUGUCUCCCUACUCUACUCAGUGAAACUGAUCUCCCCGUGAAGAAGCGGGGAUAAAAAUAUAAGACGAGAAGACCCCAUGGAGCUUUAAACUCAGUACCAACUGCCCCAAUAAUAACCUAUUAUCCUUGCAGCCAUGGUUACUAGUUUUCGGUUGGGGUGACCACGGAGUAAAAUUUAACCUCCACGAUGAAAGGAACUAAUAUCCUAACCUGUGAGCUACAGCUCUAAGUAUCAACAAAUUGACUAAUUGACCCAAUUACUUGAUCAACGAACCAAGUUACCCUGGGGAUAACAGCGCAAUCCAUUUCAAGAGCUCAUAUCGACAAAUGGGUUUACGACCUCGAUGUUGGAUCAGGGUAUCCCAGUGGCGCAGCCGCUACUAACGGUUC
RNAcentral lists this ribosomal RNA (862 nucleotides) under Microhyla mukhlesuri. RNAcentral describes it as "partial large subunit ribosomal RNA". It matches the Rfam family "Bacterial large subunit ribosomal RNA", at positions 1111 to 2574 of the family's 2925-position model. Lineage: Eukaryota; Metazoa; Chordata; Amphibia; Anura; Microhylidae. The record is from RNAcentral.